This 73-nucleotide transfer RNA is filed under the name Pteropus alecto (black flying fox). It matches the Rfam family "tRNA". Rfam says of the family: Transfer RNA (tRNA) molecules are approximately 80 nucleotides in length. Their secondary structure includes four short double-helical elements and three loops (D, anti-codon, and T loops). Lineage: Eukaryota; Metazoa; Chordata; Mammalia; Chiroptera; Pteropodidae. The record is from Rfam by way of RNAcentral.
CGUUCCAUUGUGUAGCGGUUAGCAUGUCUGCUUUACAUGCAGAAGGUCCUGGGUUUGUGCCCCAGUGGAGCCA